This 690-nucleotide ribosomal RNA is filed under the name uncultured bacterium. Its description in RNAcentral is "bacterial SSU rRNA". It matches the Rfam family "Bacterial small subunit ribosomal RNA", at positions 141 to 851 of the family's 1533-position model. The record is from RNAcentral.
GGAUAACAUACCGAAAGGUAUGCUAAUACGGGAUAAUAUAUUUGAGAGGCAUCUCUUAAAUAUCAAAGGUGAGCCAGUACAGGAUGGACCCGCGUCUGAUUAGCUAGUUGGUAAGGUAACGGCUUACCAAGGCGACGAUCAGUAGCCGACCUGAGAGGGUGAUCGGCCACAUUGGAACUGAGACACGGUCCAAACUCCUACGGGAGGCAGCAGUGGGGAAUAUUGCACAAUGGGCGAAAGCCUGAUGCAGCAACGCCGCGUGAGUGAUGAAGGCCUUCGGGUCGUAAAACUCUGUCCUCAAGGAAGAUAAUGACGGUACUUGAGGAGGAAGCCCCGGCUAACUACGUGCCAGCAGCCGCGGUAAUACGUAGGGGGCUAGCGUUAUCCGGAUUUACUGGGCGUAAAGGGUGCGUAGGCGGUCUUUCAAGUCAGGAGUGAAAGGCUACGGCUCAACCGUAGUAAGCUCUUGAAACUGGGAGCCUUGAGUGCAGGAGAGGAGAGUGGAAUUCCUAGUGUAGCGGUGAAAUGCGUAGAUAUUAGGAGGAACACCAGUUGCGAAGGCGGCUCUCUGGACUGUAACUGACGCUGAGGCACGAAAGCGUGGGGAGCAAACAGGAUUAGAUACCCUGGUAGUCCACGCUGUAAACGAUGAGUACUAGGUGUCGGGGGUUACCCCCUUCGGUGCCGCAG